This 425-nucleotide ribosomal RNA is filed under the name uncultured bacterium. Its description in RNAcentral is "partial 16S ribosomal RNA". It matches the Rfam family "Bacterial small subunit ribosomal RNA", at positions 354 to 796 of the family's 1533-position model. The record is from RNAcentral.
GUGGGGAAUAUUGGACAAUUGGCGCAAGCCUGAUCCAGCCAUGCCGCGUGAGUGAUGAAGGCCUUAGGGUUGUAAAGCUCUUUCAGUAGGGAAGAUAAUGACGGUACCUACAGAAGAAGCCCCGGCUAACUUCGUGCCAGCAGCCGCGGUAAUACGAAGGGGGCUAGCGUUGUUCGGAUUUACUGGGCGUAAAGCGCACGUAGGCGGUUUGUUAAGUCAGGGGUGAAAUCCCGGAGCUCAACUCCGGAACUGCCUUUGAUACUGGCAAGCUAGAGUCCGGAAGAGGUAAGUGGAACUCCUAGUGUAGAGGUGGAAUUCGUAGAUAUUAGGAAGAACACCAGUGGCGAAGGCGGCUUACUGGUCCGGAACUGACGCUGAGGUGCGAAAGCGUGGGGAGCAAACAGGAUUAGAAACCCUGGUAGUCC